GACGAACGCUGGCGGCGUGCUUAACACAUGCAAGUCGUACGGUAAGGCCCUUUCGGGGGUACACGAGUGGCGAACGGGUGCGUAACACGUGCGUAACCUUCCCACAACUUUGGGAUAACGCUAGGAAACUGGUGCUAAUACUGGAUAUGUGCUCCUGCUGCAUGGUGGGGGUUGGAAAGCUCCGGCGGUUGUGGAUGGACUCGCGGCCUAUCAGCUUGUUGGUUGGGUAGUGGCCUACCAAGGCGGCGACGGGUAGCCGGCCUGAGAGGGUGACCGGCCACAUUGGGACUGAGAUACGGCACAGACUCCUACGGGAGGCAGCAGUGGGGAAUAUUGCACAAUGGGCGCAAGCCUGAUGCAGCAACGCCGCGUGCGGGAUGACGGCCUUCGGGUUGUAAACCGCUUUCAGCAGGGACGAAGCUUUUUGUGACGGUACCUGCAGAAGAAGCACCGGCUAACUACGUG
This 465-nucleotide ribosomal RNA is filed under the name uncultured bacterium. Its description in RNAcentral is "partial 16S ribosomal RNA". It matches the Rfam family "Bacterial small subunit ribosomal RNA", at positions 28 to 507 of the family's 1533-position model. The record is from RNAcentral.